GUGGGGAAUCUUGCGCAAUGGGCGAAAGCCUGACGCAGCCAUGCCGCGUGAAUGAUGAAGGUCUUAGGAUUGUAAAAUUCUUUCACCGGGGACGAUAAUGACGGUACCCGGAGAAGAAGCUCCGGCUAACUUCGUGCCAGCAGCCGCGGUAAUACGAAGGGGGCUAGCGUUGCUCGGAAUUACUGGGCGUAAAGGGCGCGUAGGCGGACAGCUUAGUCAGAGGUGAAAGCCCAGGGCUCAACCUUGGAAUUGCCUUUGAUACUGGGUGUCUUGAGUUUGGGAGAGGUGAGUGGAACUCCGAGUGUAGAGGUGAAAUUCGUAGAUAUUCGGAAGAACACCAGUGGCGAAGGCGACUCACUGGCCCAAUACUGACGCUGAGGCGCGAAAGCAUGGGGAGCAAACAGGAUUAGAUACCCCGGUAGUCC
RNAcentral lists this ribosomal RNA (425 nucleotides) under uncultured bacterium. RNAcentral describes it as "partial 16S ribosomal RNA". It matches the Rfam family "Bacterial small subunit ribosomal RNA", at positions 354 to 796 of the family's 1533-position model. The record is from RNAcentral.